UACAGAGGGUGCGAGCGUUGUCCGGAAUCACUGGGCGUAAAGGGCGCGUAGGCGGCUUGGUAAGGUUGCGGUGAAAGCCCGAGGCUCAACUUCGGGUCGGCCAUGGAUACUGCUGCGCUCGAGCACUGUAGAGGCAGGUGGAAUUCCGGGUGUAGCGGUGGAAUGCGUAGAGAUCCGGAAGAACACCGGUGGCGAAGGCGGCCUGCUGGGCAGUAGCUGACGCUGAGGCGCGACAGCGUGGGGAGCAAACAGG
Molecule: ribosomal RNA, 253 nt
Filed under: uncultured bacterium
Lineage: Bacteria
Description: partial 16S ribosomal RNA
Rfam family: Bacterial small subunit ribosomal RNA
Source: RNAcentral